AGAGUGAACGCUGGCGGUAGGCCUAACACAUGCAAGUCGAACGGCAGCACAGUGGUAGCAAUACCAUGGGUGGCGAGUGGCGGACGGGUGAGGAAUACAUCGGAAUCUACCUUUUCGUGGGGGAUAACGUAGGGAAACUUACGCUAAUACCGCAUACGCCCUUCGGGGGAAAGCCGGGGAUCGCAAGACCUGGCGCGGAUAGAUGAGCCGAUGUCGGAUUAGCUAGUUGGUGAGGUAAUGGCUCACCAAGGCGACGAUCCGUAGCUGGUCUGAGAGGAUGAUCAGCCACACUGGAACUGAGACACGGUCCAGACUCCUACGGGAGGCAGCAGUGGGAAUAGUUGGACAAUGGGCGCAAAGCCUGACUCCAACGCCAUACCGGCGUUGGGUGAAAGAAGGCCGUUCGGUUAGUUAAACGUCCCGUUUUAGUUAGGAAAGAAAAGCGUAAAGUUCGGUUAAA
RNAcentral lists this ribosomal RNA (460 nucleotides) under uncultured soil bacterium. RNAcentral's name for it is "bacterial SSU rRNA". It matches the Rfam family "Bacterial small subunit ribosomal RNA", at positions 26 to 472 of the family's 1533-position model. The record is from RNAcentral.